CUAUGCCUAGCUUUNAACAUUGACCACUUACACAAAUAAUCCGCCAGGGAACUACGAGCCUCAGCUUAAAACCCAAAGGACUUGGCGGUGCCCCAAACCCACCUAGAGGAGCCUGUUCUAUAAUCGAUAACCCCCGCUUAACCUCACCACUUCUUGCAAAAACCGCCUAUAUACCACCGUCGCCAGCCCACCANGUGAGGGGAAUGCAGUAGGCAAAAUGGCCCCCGCCAGAACGUCAGGUCAAGGUGUAGCGUAUGAAGUGGAAAGAAAUGGGCUACAUUUUCUGGCUCAGAACAACACGAAAGGUCACUAUGAAACCUGNCCCAAAGGAGGAUUUAGUAGUAAAGAAAAANAAGAGAGUUCUCUUAACUCGGCCCUGGNGGCCGCACNNANCNCCCGU
This 400-nucleotide ribosomal RNA is filed under the name Discoglossus pictus (painted frog). RNAcentral describes it as "partial 12S ribosomal RNA". It matches the Rfam family "Bacterial small subunit ribosomal RNA", at positions 790 to 1397 of the family's 1533-position model. Lineage: Eukaryota; Metazoa; Chordata; Amphibia; Anura; Alytidae. The record is from RNAcentral.